CCUAACAAGCGCCGACGUACGUCUCCUGUCGUUGCACACGCCCUAUCUCUCUUUCAUCCCUCUCUCGCCACUCCCUCCCCCGCCGCCCUCCUCUUCGCUGCCCCCGCCACUGCCACUGCCCAGACCACAUCACCACACCCGCUCGCCAACCAGCUUCCCCACAACCUCGUGAACGAACUGCAUCUCCCCGUCGACGCCUACGGCUGGACUAGCCCAGUGGCCGGCGUCAUCACAGUGUCGGACGUGAUCAAUACGACCAAACUCUGGACAUGGAAGGGGCUCCAGGCCUCCAACGAACAAAGCUGCUUCACCGACACCGACCACAUGAUGCAGUUGACGCAAGGAGUCACACAUCCGUCUUGAUCCCCCUUCUCGCCUUCAUUCUCUGCUAAUUACCUUCUUCUCGUGUUAUUAAUUCCUUGGUACAAUCAAUAUGCAUGCUGUGGGUAGAUGCUUCAAUUAGUUACCCUAAAGUCCAACCGCAUAGUGGCGGACCCAGAAAUUGAAGAUAGCCUAGGCGAGAUUAUCUAAUGCUAACAAUUAUAGCUGAUUUUAUAUAAGAAGACAUGUGCAUUUGAUUUUGAUGUGCAUUUUUAUCCGGUGAGGCAGCCCAGGCUGUGGCCUGUGGUGCCUGGCUAGGGCGUCCGCCACUGCAACCGCAUCACACAGAUGGAGGAGUCGCUCGUCGCCGGCAAGACGUUCAACCAAGAACAGGAGGAGGUUACCAGCUCCAAGCCCAUCGUCGUGAUUCUGAUCGACGAGCUCGAGCACCUCAGUACCCGCUCGCAUCAGCUCUCGCGGAGGAGCUCUCUCCUCAUCGCCUAAGUGUGACAACUACCUCUGCGAUGCAAACCGUAGUGGCAAGCUGCCAAACAAACUUUACUUGCUGGUGGCGUAGUUCUUUCUGGUAGAGGUCUGGGCUCUGGAGACAAUGGUAGUGAAUUCAUUGGAGAAAGGGGUUUUGUUUCCUUUCUUCUUUGGGAGGCGAAGUGGGUUGGAGCCAGAGAGUCCCUAAUUUUUUAGUGCAUUUUGUUGCAGAAGAGCCACAUGAUGACUACAACAAGCCACCUAGUUGGAACUCUCACUUCAAGAUGGCACUCGACUCUGCUCGUGCACUCGAGUAAGUGGAAUUGAGGAAAUAAAGUACAUAUUUUUUCCUUAAUAUGGAUUCACGAAUUUUGGUAUUGAAUAUGUGUGCUCAUUAGUACUAUACAUGAUUUUAAAUAUUGUAGAAAUUUCCC
Molecule: long non-coding RNA, 1241 nt
Organism: Zea mays
Lineage: Eukaryota; Viridiplantae; Streptophyta; Magnoliopsida; Poales; Poaceae
Exons: 3
Source: RefSeq, a predicted model, not a curated record